GAGUUUNGNNCUGGCUCAGGACGAACGCUGGCGGCGUGCCUAAUACAUGCAAGUCGAACGAACUCUGGUAUUGAUUGGUGCUUGCAUCAUGAUUUACAUUUGAGUGAGUGGCGAACUGGUGAGUAACACGUGGGAAACCUGCCCAGAAGCGGGGGAUAACACCUGGAAACAGAUGCUAAUACCGCAUAACAACUUGGACCGCAUGGUCCGAGUUUGAAAGAUGGCUUCGGCUAUCACUUUUGGAUGGUCCCGCGGCGUAUUAGCUAGAUGGUGAGGUAACGGCUCACCAUGGCAAUGAUACGUAGCCGACCUGAGAGGGUAAUCGGCCACAUUGGGACUGAGACACGGCCCAAACUCCUACGGGAGGCAGCAGUAGGGAAUCUUCCACAAUGGACGAAAGUCUGAUGGAGCAACGCCGCGUGAGUGAAGAAGGGUUUCGGCUCGUAAAACUCUGUUGUUAAAGAAGAACAUAUCUGAGAGUAACUGUUCAGGUAUUGACGGUAUUUAACCAGAAAGCCACGGCUAACUACGUGCCAGCAGCCGCGGUAAUACGUAGGUGGCAAGCGUUGUCCGGAUUUAUUGGGCGUAAAGCGAGCGCAGGCGGUUUUUUAAGUCUGAUGUGAAAGCCUUCGGCUCAACCGAAGAAGUGCAUCGGAAACUGGGAAACUUGAGUGCAGAAGAGGACAGUGGAACUCCAUGUGUAGCGGUGAAAUGCGUAGAUAUAUGGAAGAACACCAGUGGCGAAGGCGGCUGUCUGGUCUGUAACUGACGCUGAGCUC
RNAcentral lists this ribosomal RNA (779 nucleotides) under Lactiplantibacillus plantarum. RNAcentral's name for it is "bacterial SSU rRNA". It matches the Rfam family "Bacterial small subunit ribosomal RNA", at positions 9 to 754 of the family's 1533-position model. The record is from RNAcentral. Lineage: Bacteria; Bacillati; Bacillota; Bacilli; Lactobacillales; Lactobacillaceae.